This 1973-nucleotide ribosomal RNA is filed under the name human gut metagenome. RNAcentral's name for it is "bacterial LSU rRNA". It matches the Rfam family "Bacterial large subunit ribosomal RNA", at positions 1 to 2001 of the family's 2925-position model. The record is from RNAcentral.
GAAAGUAAGUAAGGGCGUAUGGGGGAUGCCUAGGCUCUUGGAGGCUAAGAAGGACGUGGUAAGCUGCGAAAAGCUGCGGGGAUUUGCAAACGAGACUCGAUCCGCAGAUAUCCGAAUGGGACAACCCGGCAGGUAGAAGACCUGUCACACCGCGAGGUGAGCUAACCCUCUGAACUGAAACAUCUAAGUAGGAGGAGGAAAAGAAAGAAACAUCGAUUUCCAAAGUAGCGGCGAGCGAAAUGGAAGAAGCCCAAACCGAUAUUGUUACGGCAAUAUCGGGGUUGUAGGACUGCAAUAUUCAAUUAACAAUGAACUGGAAUGGUCUGGAAAGUCCAUCCAUAGAGAGUGAAAGGCUCGUACAGGUAAGUUUGUUAUGCGAUAGCAGUAUCCUGAGUAUGGCGGGACACGAGGAAUCCUGUCAGAAUCAGCCGGGACCACCCGGUAAGGCUAAAUACUCCCAAGAGACCGAUAGUGGACCAGUACUGUGAAGGAAAGGUGAAAAGAACCCCGAACAGGGGAGUGAAAUAGAACCUGAAACCAUACGCUUACAACCGGUCGGAGCAGCUUCGUGCUGUGACGGCGUGCCUAUUGAAUAAUGAGCCUACGAGUUACUAAUCACUAGCGAGGUUAAGUGCAAGGAUGCACGGAGCCGAAGCGAAAGCGAGUCUGAACAGGGCGUUUAGUUAGUGGUUGUAGACGCGAAACCUUGCGAUCUACCCUUGAGCAGGUUGAAGGUUGGGUAAAACCAACUGGAGGACCGAACGAAUAAGCGUUGAAAAGCUUCUCGAUGACUUGAGGGUAGGGGUGAAAGGCUAAUCAAGCUGGGAAAUAGCUCGUACUCCCCGAAAUGCCUUUUGGGGCAGCGUUGUAAUAAAGAGUCUACUGGAGGUAGAGCUACUGAUUGGAUGCGGGGGCUUCACCGCCUACCAAAUCCUGACAAACUCCGAAUGCCAGUAGUAUGAUUUACAGCAGUGAGUGACUGGGUGCUAAUGUCCAGUCGCAAAAGAGGAACAACUCAGACCAGCAACUAAGGUCCCGAAGAAUAUGCUAAGUUGAUCUAACGAUGUUUUGUUGCAGAGACAGCUAGGAUGUUAGCUUGGAAGCAGCUAUUCAUUCAAAGAGUGCGUAACAGCUCACUAGUCGAGCGACAGAGCGUGGAUAAUAAACGGGCAUCAAGCAUAUCACCGAAGUUCUGGGCGCGAGAGCGCGGUAGGGGAGCAUUCCAUUCAGCGUCGAAGCAGUUUCGUGAGGAAUUGUGGAGCGUAUGGAAAAGCAAAUGUAGGCAUGAGUAACGAUAAUGCGGGAGAGUAACCCGCACACCGCAAGACCAAGGUUUCCUGAUCAACGCUAAUCGGAUCAGGGUUAGUCGGGUCCUAAGGGUAAGCCGAACGGCGAUCUCGAUGGAUAAUCGGUUAAUAUUCCGAUACUAACAUAUACCUCGAUGGAGAGACGAAGGAACGUAAGUGCCGCCACCUGACGGAAUAGGUGGUUAAAGGGCGUAGGUAUAGGGGCAGAUUAAGAGUUAGUCCUUGCUGAAACCUGACAGUACAGAGAGCCUACGGGCAAUUUGAUAGAGCACCCAAGUCGACUUCCGAGAAAAUCUUCUAAGUUAUAGUAUAUGUUACCCGUACCGUAAACCGACACAGGUGGUCGAGGAGAGUAUCCUAAGGUGCUCGAGUGAAUCACGGUUAAGGAACUAGGCAAAUUAACCCCGUAACUUCGGGAAAAGGGGUCCCUAUGAAAGUAGGGCGCAGCGAAGAGGUCCAGGCGACUGUUUAUCAAAAACACAGGGCUCUGCAAAUUCGAAAGAAGACGUAUAGGGCCUGACACCUGCCCGGUGCUGGAAGGUUAAGAGGGGAUGUCAUCGCAAGAGAAGCAUUGAAUCGAAGCCCCAGUAAACGGCGGCCGUAACUAUAACGGUCCUAAGGUAGCGAAAUUCCUUGUCGGGUAAGUUCCGACCUGCACGAAUGGUG